This 253-nucleotide ribosomal RNA is filed under the name uncultured bacterium. Its description in RNAcentral is "partial 16S ribosomal RNA". It matches the Rfam family "Bacterial small subunit ribosomal RNA", at positions 524 to 776 of the family's 1533-position model. The record is from RNAcentral.
UACGAAGGGGGCUAGCGUUGUUCGGAAUCACUGGGCGUAAAGCGCACGCAGGCGGAUUGAUAAGUCAGGGGUGAAAUCCCGGGGCUCAACCUCGGAAUUGCCUUUGAUACUGUCUGUCUUGAGUCCGGGAGAGGUGAGUGGAAUUCCUAGUGUAGAGGUGAAAUUCGUAGAUAUUAGGAAGAACACCAGUGGCGAAGGCGGCUCACUGGCCCUGUACUGACGCUCAUGUGCGAAAGCGUGGGGAGCAAACAGG